AGUUUGAGAAACACUGUCCUAAAGGCAUCAGAUCCUUUCUGAUCUUGGAAGCUAAGUUGGGUCAGCUAUGGUUAAUACUUGGAUGGCAGGUCACUAAUGAAGACCAGGUACUGUAUUUC
Non-coding RNA from Anolis carolinensis (green anole), 119 nucleotides. The record is from Rfam. Lineage: Eukaryota; Metazoa; Chordata; Lepidosauria; Squamata; Anolidae.